Molecule: non-coding RNA, 125 nt
Organism: Brachypodium distachyon (stiff brome)
Lineage: Eukaryota; Viridiplantae; Streptophyta; Magnoliopsida; Poales; Poaceae
Source: Rfam
AAGUUACUCCCUCCGAUCCAUAUUAAUUGUCUCAAAUUUGUCUGAAUAUGGAUGUAUCUAUGCCUAAAAAACGUCUAGAUACAUGUAAUAUUUCGACAAGUAAUAUGGAUCGGAGGGAGUAGUAC